This 339-nucleotide ribosomal RNA is filed under the name uncultured bacterium. RNAcentral's name for it is "bacterial SSU rRNA". It matches the Rfam family "Bacterial small subunit ribosomal RNA", at positions 30 to 369 of the family's 1533-position model. The record is from RNAcentral.
AUUGAACGCUGGCGGCAUGCCUUACACAUGCAAGUCGAACGGCAGCACGGGAGCAAUCCUGGUGGCGAGUGGCGAACGGGUGAGUAAUACAUCGGAACGUGUCCAGUUGUGGGGGAUAGCCCGGGCGAAAGCCGGAUUAAUACCGCAUACGACCUACGGGUGAAAGCGGGGGAUCGCAAGACCUCGCGCUAUUGGGGCGCCGAUGUCAGAUUAGCUUGUUGGUGGGGUAAAAGCCUACCAAGGCGACGAUCUGUAGCUGGUCUGAGAGGACGACCAGCCACACUGGGACUGAGAAACGGCCCAGACUCCUACGGGAGGCAGCAGUGGGGAAUUUUGGAC